This 732-nucleotide long non-coding RNA is filed under the name Helianthus annuus (common sunflower). Lineage: Eukaryota; Viridiplantae; Streptophyta; Magnoliopsida; Asterales; Asteraceae. The record is from RNAcentral.
CAGUUCUCAGCAGUUUUUUUACUGGCAAUUAGCUCCGCUUUUUUCUGCCCAUCUUCCUCACAUGUCACAACUCCUACAAAAUAGGGUUGUGGUUCAAUUCAGUUGCUGACUGGUUUUAUAAAAUGUAGACGCCUACUUCCAAAAAUUCGCACCUACAGUUGAAGUAGAGUUGUGGAAGCAUUCGAUCAUUGAUUGAACAGAAGAUGGAUAAAAUUUCGCACGAGAUUUUCUCACACAUUGAAAACCCUAAAGUGUAGACAUAAACAGAUUAUUCGUCAAGCCUCAUCUGGUGGUUGUUCAGUCCCCCAUCUGCAGAUACAGGCAGAGAAUCACCCAUUUGAUUUACACCCAAAUUGGAAAAACUAGGCUUCAUGCGUGUUCAUACAACAAUCAUUACUGCUUCGCUGAUCCUUCUCUAUCUCAGUUUGGCAAGAUGUUUCAUCCAAUUGCUGUUGAAGAUGUGAAGAUGCUAAAUGAGAAGUUAAAUCUUACAAGUUACAAGCUUAAAUGGUCACUAGAAUGUGGUUAAAUUCUCUAAUGCAUUUUAAAGAUGAUUCAUUUUUAUAUACUGUCAUGGAAAGUCGACUUAAAGGCUGUGUUUCAUGUUAUGUGAGGGCGAUGAGUUGCUGGAACGGAUUCUGUCAAGCGGGUAUAGCUACCUAGUGAUACGAGGUGGAGUACAAGAGGCGUUUUUAUGGAGCAUGGCUCUGAGAUUUUAUCUUAUUCAAAACC